UAAUAAGUACACAGUAUACCAACUAGUGAUUCACAUAACAACGUCAAGUACAUAGUAUACCAACUAGUGAUUCACAUAACAAGUACACAGUAUACCAACUAGUGAUUCACAUAACAACGUCAAGUACAUAGUAUACCAACUAGUGAUUCACAUAACAGGUACACAGUAUACCAACUAGUGAUUCACAUAACAACGUCAAGUACACAGUAUACCAACUAGUGAUUCACAUAAGUACAUAAUAUACCAACUAGUGAUUCACAUAACAAGUACACUGUAUACCAACUAGUGAUUCACAUAACAAGUACACAGUAUACCAACUAGUGAUUCACAUAACAACGUCAAGUACACAGUAUACCAACUAGUGAUUCACAUAACAAGUACACAGUAUACCAACUAGUGAUUCACAUAACAAGUACACAGUAUACCAACUAGUGAUUCAUAUAAGUACACAGUAUACCAACUAGUGAUUCACAUAACAAGUACAUAGUAUACCAACUAGUGAUUCACAUAACAAGUACACAGUAUACCAACUAGUGAUUCACAUAACAAGUACAUAAUAUACCAACUAGUGAUUCACAUAACAAGUA
Pecten maximus is the source of this 587-nucleotide long non-coding RNA. RefSeq lists it as uncharacterized. The transcript is spliced from 2 exons. NCBI's taxonomy places the organism in Eukaryota, Metazoa, Mollusca, Bivalvia, Pectinida, Pectinidae. The record is from RefSeq and is a predicted model, not a curated record.